RNA transcript from Gambusia affinis (western mosquitofish), 3432 nucleotides. It is a transcript of the gene named sodium/potassium transporting ATPase interacting 4, with no coding region annotated. NCBI's taxonomy places the organism in Eukaryota, Metazoa, Chordata, Actinopteri, Cyprinodontiformes, Poeciliidae. The transcript is spliced from 3 exons. The record is from RefSeq and is a predicted model, not a curated record.
AAUACGCUUCUCUUGAGAAUUGAUUUAGCUUAGAACCUGAACAAGCAAAGUUUACAAUGGAGACCAACCAACAUAGAAUCGAAGAGGUUGCAUCCGACAACUUUGUCAAAAAGGAAUUGCAGCCACCAAUGACACCCAGGCGGAAGAAGAAGAAGGUGUCGUUUGCAGUUUGGUUGGAGCAGCAAGAGCUGAAGAUCUCUGCUGAAAACAUCCAACAGCAGGACGCUUCACCUCUGACUGACAAUGGAUUGAUAACCAAAGCUCUGGAGGCAGUCGAUCAGAAAGGGGACAAACCGACACCUGACAGUGAGUCCAAGGAGAAGAACCUGGUACCAUCUAAAACCUGGUCGGAGGAACACGUCCCCGCUGACCAAGAGGUUUCUGCAGAAAACACUGAGAAGCAGAACGAAUCACUGGUCAGUGGAGAAGAGUCCACCGUGGGAGGGCAGGAGACAGUCGAGGUAGCAGAGAAAGAACAGCCCUCCAUGUCAAAGGAACAGCUACCAACUACGAGACGCGUCAAGAAGAAAAUGAUACCAUUCCACAUCUGGUUGGAGAAACACGCCCCUGUUGAUCUUAUGAUUUCAUCUGAAAGCACUGAAAACGCUUCACUGGUUGCAAAACAGGAACCGACCUCUGUACUGCAGGAGACAACAGAGAAGGAACAGCCCCUUCAGUCCGGCACUGAAACUAUUGAAAAGCUGCACACUUCUCUGCCUGAAGAGGAUCAUGACCAGAAAGAUUCCUUAAAGAAGGAGAUCUGCACAGAGGAACUUGAGAUUUCUGUAACGCAACUGGUCACUGAAAAGAACGACAUCUCCAAACCACAGAGGAAACUGGAUCAGAAAGGGGAAAAACAAUCCAAGACUAAGCACAUCAAGAAGACGCCACUGUUGUGGAAAUCUUUUCCCGAGCCUGAUGCCUGCAUAGAUCUAUCAUUUUUUUCUGAAAACGGUGACAUUAAUAACGGACCUCUGCCGGAAAACCAAAGUCUUCAAGCAGGAUUGCCCAACAGCGGAAAGAAGAUGUUUUGGAAAAUGCUGCCCAAGUCAGAACCUCGCGUAGAUAUACAAUUUUUUACCGAGAAUAUUGAAGCCCAAAGUGUUUCAAUGCCAAUGCAAGAUCAUGAUGUGGCAGCUUCCUUGAAAAAGGAAAGCUUUUCCAAGAACACCAUCUUCAAACCGCUGGGGACACCAGAGCAAAAAGAGCAGAGAAGUCCAUCUCCUGGAAAGACAACAAAUCAGUGUACGUGUGUUGCUAAAUUUAAGGAAACUGAACUGGAAUAUAUGGAAGUACAGACGUACUUAUUCAAGCAGCUUGAUGAGAUGUUCAAUGUAAAUCAGAAACUGAAUGCAAAACUUAAACAGCAGAAGGAUCUGAUCAGGAAAGGACUCUCAGAGAGACGACAAAGAAAGAAUUCAAUGGUUUCUGUUGAAACUCAGACUGAUUUUCAAGAAACCCCAAAGCAGAAAACAGUCCAGUACUCAUCUGCUUCAACUCAAACAGAGAUGAAUACACUGGAAACCAGUUAUCAGCUAAAACCAGUCCAUCAAACGACUUCAACACAAACGGAGAUGGAUACACUGGAAACCAGAUGCCCAGUCAAACCAGUUUAUCAAUCAAUUUCAACCCAAACUGAGCUGUUUUUAUUGGUAAGAAAACAGCCCUCUGAAACGGAGCUGAAUGAGCAUCAGGAUCAGGACAAGCUAUUCAAGAGAUCAGCAGGUAAGAACAGGAGAAAGUCAGGAAAGAAAGCUGCCUCUGUACUGGAGAUUCUUAGCAAUGAAAAGGUUUCUGGAGCAAACAGUGACCAGCAAAACAUUUCAGUACCAGAGAUAGUUGGGGAUGAGAUUCAGACAAAAGAAACAGUGAUCAGUAAACCACAGCAGAUCACUGAAGGAGAAACUGUUUCUGAAACCCAACAUAAUGGAGACCAGGAAGAUCAGAAAAAGACAUCGAAGAAAUCGAAGACAUCCAGACGUAAGAUCAAGAGAAAGGCAGCAUUAAAAGAUUCCUCUGAAUUUGAAAAGGUCAACAAUGAAAUCGUUUCUGGAGAAAACAGUGAACAGAAAGUUUCAGUACCGGAAACAGUUGUGGAUCCAACAGCUUCCAUCAAAAACAGGAUUCAGACAAAAGAAACGGUGAUCAGUAAACCACAGCAGAUCACUGAAGAAACUGUUUCUGAACCCCAACAUAAUGGAGACCAGGAAGAUCAGAAAAAGCCAUUGAAGACAUCCAGACGUAGGAUCAAGAGAAAGGCAGCAUUAAAAGCUUCCUCUGAAUUUGAAAAGCUCAACAAAGGCAAAGUUUCUGUAGAAAACAGUGAACAGGUAGUUUCUAUACUAGGAACUGUUGGGUAUCCGACAGCUUCCAUAGAAACCAAGAUUCAGACAAAAGAAACAGUGAUCAGUAAACCACAACAGAUCACUGAAGAAAUGGUCUCAACAACCCAACAAAAUGGAGACCAGGAAGAUCAGAAAAAGACAUCGAAGACAUCUAGACGUAAGAUCAAGAGCAAGGCAGCAUUAAAAGCUUCCUCUGAAUUGGAGACUCCCAAUAAUGAAAACGCUUCUGGAAAAGACAGUGAACAUCAAGUAGUUUCUACUCUAGAAACAGUUGAGGAUCCAACAGCUUCCUUUAUAAACAAGAUUCAAACAGAAGAAGCAGUGAUCAGUAAAUCACAGCAGAUCACUGAAGGCGAAACUGUUUCUGAAACCCAACAAAAUGGAGACCAGGAAGAUCAGAAAAAGACAUCAAAGAAAUCUAGAUGUAAGAAAUCGAGAAAGAUGGCAGUGAAAGCUGAACUGGAAACUGGAAACCCGAUAGAGACAGAACAAAACUUGGUCCAAAACACCAAGACACCAAAAACAGAUUUAGAAAUUAUACCGGAGAUCCCCCAGACAGCUUUUGAGGAAAUAGAGACAGAAUCUUGCAAAGAUUCAGAAGAUGUAACGGGUAAAGUUCCUGUAGUUUCCACAGAAUCAGAGGGUGGUCUAAUGGAAACACAGAGAACAUCCCCUCCACAGGUAAACGGUACAUUAAAGGAAGAAGUAAUCCAAACAGCUCAGGAAUCAGAGACUCAAGCAGCUGAAGAUCCAGCGGAGCACAUCAUUGUCUCUGAAGAAGAAGAGAUCCCCAUGAAUAAGAUGUCACUGUGGAAGCGUUUGAAAAAGGCUUUAUCUCCAACAUCUCUACGCAAGUUCAAAAACAGAUCUGCUGGCCUUGGAGAGACAGGUGUUUGACUUCCUUGGUUACCAAUGGGCUCCCAUUCUUGCAAACUUUUUCCACAGCAUCAUUGUAAUCUUGGGCCUCUUUGGAACCAUCCAGUACCGGCCACGAUACAUUAUUGUGUACGCUGUUUGGGCCGCACUUUGGGUAGCCUGGAACGUCUUCAUUAUCUGCUUUUAUCUGAACGUUGGAGGUCUGUCAAAG